Molecule: long non-coding RNA, 423 nt
Filed under: Malus domestica (apple)
Lineage: Eukaryota; Viridiplantae; Streptophyta; Magnoliopsida; Rosales; Rosaceae
Description: long non-coding RNA (MDOM_LNC018324)
Source: RNAcentral
UGUAGAGGUUCAAGCACAACCUCAGAAUUAUAUCAUGUUGGUCAUACUCGUUGUCUACACUCACCUCAUCAUAUGUUUAUGGGUUCCUCCUGGAUGUAAGCACAUACUUUGAACUUCCCCAUUAUAGGGUCAAGCCGGUGCAUGGGUUCCUCCUACGAAGAGAUGUUCAAAGCAUCUCUCGCUUAUCAACUUAAUAUUCGUUUUGAGGGAGUAGUUUUGGGCUACAUCAAAACAUUUUAAUCACAUUAAAAGAACUUGGGUCUAUCACAACUAUUGGUCCAAGUUAAUAUGAAUUAGUAGCAUAUAAUACUCCCACUGUUUCGUUGAAACAAGCAAGACUAUAUGGAACUACUAGCGAAUGCAUUGCAUCCUCAUAUGGACUAUAUAGUCAUAUUAGGUUUUAGGAUGAUUAUGAACCGAUUA